UGGGGGAUAUUGCGCAAUGGGGGAAACCCUGACGCAGCAACGCCGCGUGAAGGAAGAAGGCCUUCGGGUUGUAAACUUUUGUCUUUAGGGAAGAGUAGAAGACGGUACCUAAGGAGGAAGCCACGGCUAACUACGUGCCAGCAGCCGCGGUAAUACGUAGGUGGCGAGCGUUGUCCGGAUUUAUUGGGUGUAAAGGGCGUGUAGGCGGGACUUUAAGUCAGAUGUGAAAUACCGAGGCUCAACCUCGGGGCUGCAUUUGAAACUGAAGUUCUUGAGUGCAGGAGAGGAUAGUGGAAUUCCUAGUGUAGCGGUGAAAUGCGUAGAUAUUAGGAGGAACACCAGUGGCGAAGGCGACUAUCUGGACUGUAACUGACGCUGAGGCGCGAAAGUGUGGGGAGCAAACA
RNAcentral lists this ribosomal RNA (404 nucleotides) under uncultured Eubacteriales bacterium. RNAcentral describes it as "uncultured Clostridiales bacterium partial 16S ribosomal RNA". It matches the Rfam family "Bacterial small subunit ribosomal RNA", at positions 355 to 774 of the family's 1533-position model. The record is from RNAcentral. Lineage: Bacteria; Bacillati; Bacillota; Clostridia; Eubacteriales.